GCACCUUUGUAACAAAAUUUAUCUUUGAGCAAUUCUAUAUUUUAUGCGAAACCGCUGAAAAUUAAAUUUUCUCCUAUAGCACACGAAUUGACCGAACACCAUGACCAUUGUCAAACCAUGGAUAAUAAAAUAAAUGGAUAGGAAACUAGCUGACGUGACCUAAUGUUUUCAAUGGGCUGAUGGCGUGGUUGGAUGUUGGAAACCUA
Paramuricea clavata is the source of this 206-nucleotide non-coding RNA. Lineage: Eukaryota; Metazoa; Cnidaria; Anthozoa; Malacalcyonacea; Plexauridae. The record is from the annotation of a GenBank genome assembly.